RNAcentral lists this ribosomal RNA (546 nucleotides) under Pseudonebularia tornata. RNAcentral describes it as "partial 12S ribosomal RNA". The record is from RNAcentral. Lineage: Eukaryota; Metazoa; Mollusca; Gastropoda; Neogastropoda; Mitridae.
AACCAGGAGAUUAAGUUGUAUUAUACGGUAAAAAGACAGUUAGGUAAAAAUAAAUAAAGCUUAAUUCAUUGUACUAUCGGGAGGUAGAAUUCGAAGAUAGACAAAUAUACUAAAUUAAAGCAGUGUAGCUGAAGCUGUGAUAACUUUGAGGGAAACUAGGAUUAGAUACCCUAUUAUUCAUAGAAAUAAAUAAGAAAAUUCUACCAGAGUACUAAGAAUAAGAAAAUUUAAAACUCAAAGAGCUUGGCGGUGUUUUAGACUACUUAGGGGAACCUGUCUCGUAAUCGACAAUCCACGAUAGACCUAACCUUCUUUUGCGCUCAGUUUGUAUACCGUCGUCGACAGGUAACUUUUAAGAUAGGAACAGUUAGCUAACUAAAUACUUAAAUUAAGACGUCAGAUCAAGGUGCAGCUAAUAAUAGGGUGUAGAUGGGUUACAAUUAUUGCAUUCGUAAUAACGGACAACAGCCUUAAAAGCAAUUGGAAAGGAGGACUUAAAAGUAAAAUAAAUUAUAUAAGCAUUUUGAAUAAAGCUCUGAAACGUGC